UACGUAGGUGGCAAGCGUUGUCCGGAUUUACUGGGUGUAAAGGGCGUGCAGCCGGAGAGACAAGUCAGAUGUGAAAUCCACGGGCUCAACCCGUGAACUGCAUUUGAAACUGUUUCCCUUGAGUGUCGGAGAGGUAAUCGGAAUUCCUUGUGUAGCGGUGAAAUGCGUAGAUAUAAGGAAGAACACCAGUGGCGAAGGCGGAUUGCUGGACGAUAACUGACGGUGAGGCGCGAAAGCGUGGGGAGCAAACAGG
Molecule: ribosomal RNA, 253 nt
Filed under: uncultured bacterium
Lineage: Bacteria
Description: partial 16S ribosomal RNA
Rfam family: Bacterial small subunit ribosomal RNA
Source: RNAcentral